This 482-nucleotide ribosomal RNA is filed under the name uncultured bacterium. RNAcentral describes it as "partial 16S ribosomal RNA". It matches the Rfam family "Bacterial small subunit ribosomal RNA", at positions 30 to 507 of the family's 1533-position model. The record is from RNAcentral.
AUUGAACGCUGGCGGCAUGCCUUACACAUGCAAGUCGAACGGUAACAGGUCUUCGGAUGCUGACGAGUGGCGAACGGGUGAGUAAUACAUCGGAACGUGCCCGAUCGUGGGGGAUAACGAAGCGAAAGCUUUGCUAAUACCGCAUAAGAUCUACGGAUGAAAGCAGGGGACCGCAAGGCCUUGCGCGAACGGAGCGGCCGAUGGCAGAUUAGGUAGUUGGUGGGAUAAAAGCUUACCAAGCCGACGAUCUGUAGCUGGUCUGAGAGGACGACCAGCCACACUGGGACUGAGACACGGCCCAGACUCCUACGGGAGGCAGCAGUGGGGAAUUUUGGACAAUGAGCGAAAGCCUGAUCCAGCCAUGCCGCGUGCAGGAUGAAGGCCUUCGGGUUGUAAACUGCUUUUGUACGGAACGAAAAGACUCUGGUUAAUACCUGGGGUCCAAGACGGUACCGUAAGAAUAAGCACCGGCUAACUACGUG